RNAcentral lists this ribosomal RNA (468 nucleotides) under uncultured bacterium. Its description in RNAcentral is "partial 16S ribosomal RNA". It matches the Rfam family "Bacterial small subunit ribosomal RNA", at positions 28 to 507 of the family's 1533-position model. The record is from RNAcentral.
GAUGAACGCUGGCGGCGUGCUUAACACAUGCAAGUCGAACGGAAAGGCCCUGCUUUUGUUGGGUGCUCGAGUGGCGAACGGGUGAGUAACACGUGAGUAACCUGCCCUUGACUUUGGGAUAACUUCAGGAAACUGGGGCUAAUACCGGAUAGGAGCUCCUGCUGCAUGGUGUGGGUUGGAAUGUUUCGGCGGUGGGGGAUGGACUCGCGGUAUAUCAGCUUGUUGGUGGGGUAGUGGCUUCCCAAGGGUGCGACGGGUCGCCGGCAUGAGGGGGUGACCGCCCACAUGGGGACUACGAUACGCCCCAGAGUCCUACGGGGGGCAGUGGGGGGAAAUAUGGCACAAGGGGGGGAAGCCUGUGGAGGCAACCCGGGGUGCGGAAUGACGGCUUUGGGGUGUUAAACCGCUUUCGCCUGUGACGAAGCGUGUGUGACGGUAAUGGGUGAAGAAGCACCGGCUAACUACGUG